Long non-coding RNA from Chrysemys picta bellii (western painted turtle), 260 nucleotides. RefSeq lists it as uncharacterized. The record is from RefSeq and is a predicted model, not a curated record. NCBI's taxonomy places the organism in Eukaryota, Metazoa, Chordata, Testudines, Emydidae.
GAGAAUGCUCUGGGCUAGAAGAGCUAAUUCCCAGGAUGACCAGCAGGAGGCGCUGCAUCUAUAUUUGCCUCCAAAUUAAUCAAUCCUGCACUGGCAAAGGGGACAAGAUGUCUUAACAGAUGUUUUCUUUAAUAUCUCUGAUUCGAGUCAUCCAAGUGGACUGUCCUGGAAUUUACAUAAGAAAACAGGUUUUCCAAAACUGAAUAUGUUCUUUCACAUAUGGUAUCCAAUUGUAAUUCAAGAAAUUGGAGUGAGACAGA